This 71-nucleotide transfer RNA is filed under the name bacterium. Its description in RNAcentral is "tRNA-Arg". It matches the Rfam family "tRNA". From Rfam's summary of the family: Transfer RNA (tRNA) molecules are approximately 80 nucleotides in length. Their secondary structure includes four short double-helical elements and three loops (D, anti-codon, and T loops). The record is from RNAcentral.
CCCCCCGUAGUUUAAUGGAAGAACGCCGGACUUCUAAGCCGGGUAUGGGAGUUCGAUUCUCUCCGGGGGGA